This is a long non-coding RNA of Ostrinia nubilalis (European corn borer), 1364 nucleotides long. RefSeq lists it as uncharacterized. The transcript is spliced from 2 exons. Lineage: Eukaryota; Metazoa; Arthropoda; Insecta; Lepidoptera; Crambidae. The record is from RefSeq and is a predicted model, not a curated record.
AGAUCAAGUUGAAUGCCAAAAACUUUUACCACAACAUCCUGGCGCGCUCCAUGCAGGACAACUACAAGGACGACGUGGUCGCUGAAGGAGGACUAAUCGAGUUUGAGAUGGAAGACCCCAACGUCCCCAGCCACGCCAUAGUAAAGUUGAGGAGCAAGCAACUGGUGGACGCCCAGGUCAGCGAGUUCGACGUGCCCGCCGACGGAGGGAAGAAGUGAAGAGAUGAUGUGAAGGAACGCGUCAUGGAAGCAGCAUUGUGGUAGCAGCUGACAAUAGACUAUUUGGCACCAUUCCCCAAUAAUUUUAAAUCACAACAUAAAAAAAAUACACUUCAUUCUGGUGAAACUUAAUUAAUUUUAAAUUACCUGUAAAUAAGGAUUUUUUGUUGCAUUUUAAUUGAAAAAAGUAGUUUAAUUCUGUAAUUAUUCGAUAAUGAAAAAAAUUAAAAAAUAUGUGUCCAAAAUUUUUUUAUUAUCUGUCUGACGGACUAUACAGGGUGUUAGGUAAAUGGGUAUAUGAGCCGACACUAGCCCAUGUUAACAUGGUCAUAUAAAUGGUAUGGUGAAGUCAGAAAAUUGAUAUCAUCAUUUUUAUUAUUUUAUUUUUCAUACAAAUCGUAUUUUAUAAAAUUUAUUUUGUAUGAAAAUUAAAAAAAAUAAAAUGAUGAUAUCAAAUUUCUGACUUCACCAUACCAUUUAUAUGCCCAUGCUAACAUGGGCUAGUGUCGGCUCAUAUACCCAUUUACCUAACACCCUGUAUAUGUUGCGGUUAAUGUGAUAAAUUGAAAAUUAUUAAUAAUAACCGGUUAUUAUGAAUAAUUACCGACAGUCGCGGUAAAAGUGAUAAAUUAAUCACAUUUAACAGUGAUUAUUUAAUAAUUCAACGUCAGUACUAACAAAUUUCAUAAAAGAGAACAACAUCUUGUGUACGUGCUCGUGUACAGCCAAACUCUUGACCGUUUUGAUAUCACAUAUUAAUAUAAUUUGGCAUAAUGAGUUUGGAAUGUUUCUUGCAUAAUAUUACUUUUCCAUGAUGCCUAUAACAUAAUGUUUUGAUUUAAAGUGAAAAAUAGGUUAAGGUGCGGCGGGGGUGGCCCUUGGGCCACCCCUAAGCCGCCUAUUUAGUUUUAUACACACAUAAAUGACCUCAUAUUAAUCACAUUUACCAAAUCAUGUGGUAAUUAUUCAUAAUAACCGGCGAUUAUUCAUAAUUUUCACAUUUAUCACUUUGACCGUAACAUACAUAUAUAUAGAAUUUCGAUUUCAUUACCCAGUCAUCAGGGACCCAAAGAUGCUUGCUGUCGAGUCGCCUACCGUUUAUUUGUAACAGUUUCUAGUCAAUAAAUUGUGGUGUUAUUAUUUUAA